RNAcentral lists this long non-coding RNA (1091 nucleotides) under Gallus gallus (chicken). RNAcentral describes it as "lncRNA (ENSGALG00010018079.1)". The record is from RNAcentral. Lineage: Eukaryota; Metazoa; Chordata; Aves; Galliformes; Phasianidae.
CAACAGGAGGAACUUCAGAGGAAUUCUUCUCGAGGCUGCCAGGUGAGCACUGCAGAGCUCAGUGCUGUGCCAGGUGCUCCCGAGGGGAGACUGUGCUACGCAGGGAGAGCCAGGCUGGACUGUGAAUAAUGGUGACCCAUUCAAACAAAGGAAGACCCACGACAAACACCAAGAGUUGGCCUAGGGUAUGGCUAUGGACAUCACCAUGCCCUGAGCACUGCAUGAUCCCAUGCAUCUCGACUAGACUAGACUUGACUACAUUCAAUUUGACGACCAGCUUUUUAAUGUGAUUACUGCUGUUUCUGUUUUCCGUCAUGCAUGGAAAUAUCACAACAGUUAGGAGUGCAGUGAGGAUCACAGUACGCACGAACCUUGUUGGUUAAAUCAAAGAAAACUUCACCUCAGCAGGGAAAGAGGAUGAGAUCUAAUUUUAGCUCAUCUGAUCAUUUAGCCCAUUUCAAGACACGUAAGGGAGACUCUGUAGAAUCCCUUGGACCAAACCUCCUAGAGCAUUAAUGCACAUUUCUUGAUGUCUUCCUGCCACUCCUGCACACGUUGAAGGCUGAGCUUGCUUGCUUGCUGCAGCUCUAUGCAGAAGCACGCAGCCCUGGUAACAUCAGAAGUGCAAAGACACGUUCAUUCAUGGCCAUUCAAAAGUGUUUUCAUCAGAUCCACGGAAAGCUUUACACUUUAUUUUCUCCAAAACAACAUAGCCAGGUCUCUAUGUGGAAGCAAGCUUUACUCUGAUCUUGGUGGUGCUCUUCACUCAUGGUUCUACAAAAGAGAGGAGGAGCUGCUUGUAUAUGCAUGGUUUAUACCCUUCUCCACUGUAUUGUCCUUCAGACACAUUAGCAUUCAAUUUAUUGAUGUGCUAUGUAACGUAACAUUAGCUUCAGGCAUUAUCUGUCCUCAUUUUAUUUGAACAGCCAACCUGAUCUUUAUAUGUUAUUUCCUGAACUAAAGGCUCUGGCCUCUUUGCUGUUAUAUUUGUAUGUGUAUUGCAAUUUGCUCUUGAAAGAUAAAGCCAUUAACCCAAGUCCUGAUGAUUUCAUGAUUAACAUUGAAGAACUAUGGGCAAUUCAUAACAGCAC